Bactrocera dorsalis (oriental fruit fly) is the source of this 1473-nucleotide long non-coding RNA. RefSeq lists it as uncharacterized. The record is from RefSeq and is a predicted model, not a curated record. Lineage: Eukaryota; Metazoa; Arthropoda; Insecta; Diptera; Tephritidae. The transcript has 2 exons.
ACAAAACACGAACGUUCUAAGUUAUUAAAAAAAAAACUCUUCAAUAAAUAUGUAGUUUCUAUGAUAUUGUGACAAACAAUAUACUUAGCUUUUUUGAAGGCACUGUAUUACAACAAAAACGAAAAUAAAUCUGAGAGAACUUUCGUCAUUAAACUUUUUUCAAAAUUUUUGCAGUUGUCCAAUGGUUACAAUGGCGAUAUAGAAUAGCAUCUCUCGAUUUCGGGGUUAAAAUGGGUAUGCACGAAUAGAGGAGGUCCUCCAGAUCAAGAAUAUAUACAUAUAUAUGUAUAUAGUUCCCGCCGUCUUAUGGUUUUUGAGAUAUUUGCAUUUAAAGUUCAAAAGAUCAACUAUUUGAAAUGUAUGUUUUUCGGUUUUAUAAUGCAUUUGGCACUUAUAUUUUUAAUUUUUAUAUCCACUAACACUUCACUAAUCAUUUAUUUUAUAUUAAUUAGUGCAAAGCUAUUCUAAAAUUUACCCCAUUAUGGGUUAUCAAACGAUUUUCGAACACUAACACAACUAUGGAUUUUCUUGCAGACCCUAGCUUAAAAUUUUUUAGAAAGAAACGUCCUGGCAGCAUUUGUGUUCCGUCAUUCUGCUUCAUUUUCAAAACGUCAUUUUUUGUUUACGUUCCUAUUCGUAAUUGAAGAAUUGCUAAAAAAAAGUUUGCCAAUUUUUGCUCGUUUGAAGAAUUGUUAUAAAGCAAGGAAAGUUUUAAAAUAUCCAAUAAAAUAAAAUUCAUCUUACUUGCUGGUGUACACUUGUUAUACAUUCUUACAGUUUAGUUUCUGGACUUCUCCUCAUUCUUUGAAGGAAUAUACACACAAUAAUGACUGAAGCAAAGAAGAACGCACUUACAGCUGCUUAUCGCGCACAUAAAUCCCUGCAAUUGGAAUUAACUGACUUUGAGGAUAAUACAGCAUUUGCUGCACACUUGGUAGAACAAUUACGGCGUCUGCCUACAGACAGCCGUGUUAACGCCAUGGCCGGUAUAUUAGCAAUACUGAAUCGCUUUGUACGUGUACAAGGAGAAACUCAGUAAGCAAUUUGCAUGGAGAUUUAUUUCGCCGGUUCAUCGUCCGCAUACUGCGUACCUAUAAGGAUAUCGUAAGAGGGCGGUGACGGUGAAAGCAAAAUAUGUUAAGGGAAAUGUGUUGCUAAAAGCAUCAAAUCUUUGGAGGUGUUCCUAAUGUGCGUUUAAAUAUUUUGUUGUGUGUCCUGUUUUCUUGUAAGACAUGGCAUAUGUGCUACCUAUUUUUCUUUUAUAGAACUCUAUUGAAAGUAUGACGUCGAUGUUCGAGUUAUGAGGGAGUAUAAUGUAAUAGUUAGCAUGAUUUUCCGAUUCAUCACAAACAUUCAUACAUAUAUUUUUGUUACAUUAAAACACAUCGAAAAAACUGUAAUAAGUAUUUAAUUUAAUAUAUAGAAUAUAUCAAUCAUUUUGCAAAAUAGUAUGAUUUAAAUAAUCAAAUUAAA